AUGCUCACUUUAGCAGCAUAUAUACUAAAAUUAAAAUGAUACAGAGAAGAUUAGCAUGGUCCUUGCACAAAGAUAACACUUAAAUUUAUUUAGCUUUCUAUAUUUUC
Small nuclear RNA from Fukomys damarensis (Damara mole-rat), 107 nucleotides. The record is from Ensembl. NCBI's taxonomy places the organism in Eukaryota, Metazoa, Chordata, Mammalia, Rodentia, Bathyergidae.